RNAcentral lists this ribosomal RNA (437 nucleotides) under uncultured Oscillospiraceae bacterium. RNAcentral describes it as "partial 16S ribosomal RNA". It matches the Rfam family "Bacterial small subunit ribosomal RNA", at positions 341 to 792 of the family's 1533-position model. The record is from RNAcentral. Lineage: Bacteria; Bacillati; Bacillota; Clostridia; Eubacteriales; Oscillospiraceae.
ACGGAAGGCAGCAGUGGGGAAUAUUGUACAAUGGGCGCAAGCCUGAUGCAGCAACGCCGCGUGAGGGAAGACGGUCUUCGGAUUGUAAACCUUUGUCUUUGGUGAAGAAGAAAGUGACGGUAGCCAGGGAGGAAGCCACGGCUAACUACGUGCCAGCAGCCGCGGUAAUACGUAGGUGGCAAGCGUUGUCCGGAUUUACUGGGUGUAAAGGGAGCGCAGGCGGGACAGCAAGUUGGAUGUGAAAUACCGAGGCUUAACCACGGAGCUGCAUCCAAAACUGUGGUGCUUGAGUGAAGUAGAGGUAGGCGGAAUUCCGAGUGUAGCGGUGAAAUGCGUAGAUAUUCGGAGGAACACCAGUGGCGAAGGCGGCCUACUGGGCGUUAACUGACGCUGAGGCUCGAAAGUGUGGGGAGCAAACAGGAUUAGAUACCCUGGUA